This 254-nucleotide ribosomal RNA is filed under the name uncultured bacterium. Its description in RNAcentral is "partial 16S ribosomal RNA". It matches the Rfam family "Bacterial small subunit ribosomal RNA", at positions 524 to 776 of the family's 1533-position model. The record is from RNAcentral.
GACGAACCGUGCGAACGUUAUUCGGAAUCACUGGGCUUAAAGCGCGUGUAGGCGGGACGGCACGUCGGCCGCUGAAAGCCCCGGGCUCAACCCGGGAGGGUCGCGGCGAACUGGGAGGCUUGAGGCCGGUAGAGGUGGGUGGAACUCCUGGUGGAGUGGUGAAAUGCGUAGAGAUCAGGAAGAACACCCGUGGCGAAGGCGGCCCACUGGGCCGGUGCUGACGCUGAGGCGCGAAGGCGUGGGGAGCGAACGGG